GCCAGCAGCCAUAUCACUCUGUAACUCAGACCUUGUAACCCACUGAAGGUAAGCAGGUAUGAGCCUGGCCAGUAAAUGGAUGAGAGACCUCCUGGGAAAAACUAAGGUUGCUGCUGGAA
This 119-nucleotide ribosomal RNA is filed under the name Lepisosteus oculatus (spotted gar). The record is from RNAcentral. Lineage: Eukaryota; Metazoa; Chordata; Actinopteri; Semionotiformes; Lepisosteidae.